GGCCCGUUGGUGAAGCGGUUAACACACAUGGUUUUCAUUCAUGGAUGCACGGGUUCGAACCCCGUACGGGUCACCA
RNAcentral lists this transfer RNA (76 nucleotides) under Mycoplasma sp. 'Moose RK'. Its description in RNAcentral is "tRNA-Glu". It matches the Rfam family "tRNA". From Rfam's summary of the family: Transfer RNA (tRNA) molecules are approximately 80 nucleotides in length. Their secondary structure includes four short double-helical elements and three loops (D, anti-codon, and T loops). Lineage: Bacteria; Bacillati; Mycoplasmatota; Mollicutes; Mycoplasmatales; Mycoplasmataceae. The record is from RNAcentral.